This 465-nucleotide ribosomal RNA is filed under the name uncultured bacterium. Its description in RNAcentral is "bacterial SSU rRNA". It matches the Rfam family "Bacterial small subunit ribosomal RNA", at positions 330 to 792 of the family's 1533-position model. The record is from RNAcentral.
UCCAGACUCCUACGGGAGGCAGCAGUGAGGAAUAUUGGUCAAUGGGAGGAAUCCUGAACCAGCCAUGCCGCGUGCAGGACGACGGCUCUACGAGUUGUAAACUGCUUUUGUACCGGGGUAAAAUGCCUUACGAGUAGGGUUUUGAAAGUACGGUACGAAUAAGGAUCGGCUAACUCCGUGCCAGCAGCCGCGGUAAUACGGAGGAUCCGAGCGUUAUCCGGAUUCAUUGGGUUUAAAGGGUGCGUAGGUUGUUUUAUAAGUUAGCGGUGAAAUACCGAUGCUCAACAUCGGGGCUGCCGCUAAUACUGUAGGACUAGAGAUCGGAUGCAGCAGGCGGAAUGUGUAGUGUAGCGGUGAAAUGCAUAGAUAUCAGGAGGAACACCGGCGGCGAAGGCGGCCUGCUGGACCGUGACUGACGUUGAGGCUCGAGAGCGUGGGGAGCAAACAGGAUUAGAUACCCCAGUA